This is a long non-coding RNA of Oncorhynchus masou masou (cherry salmon), 708 nucleotides long. RefSeq lists it as uncharacterized. The record is from RefSeq and is a predicted model, not a curated record. NCBI's taxonomy places the organism in Eukaryota, Metazoa, Chordata, Actinopteri, Salmoniformes, Salmonidae. The transcript has 7 exons.
UCUCUCUCUCUGGAAGAAGAACGGAGGAGGACGCAUGGAGUCUACGUGCGCUCUCACCAAGAUUACUUUUAUGACAAAUACUUGUUGAAAUUCCCGUUUAUUCAACCGUUUGAUGGGGAUUAAUGGUUCCAGACAUGCAUACGGGCUUAUUUGUUGCACUCAAGGGAUCGAUGGUGCUGGCUGCAUUACUGUGGUAUCGAGACUUGAUGGACUGGCAGGGUGCUGAAGAUGCUGUAGGAGGAUCAUCUAGUCUUGAUUUGAUUGGCUAGCAUGUGGACUGGAGACUGAAGUAAAUCUUGCCCCAUGAUUGGUGGCCCAGUAUGUGGAGUAUGAAGAUCUAUAUCUCAACCCUAUGGUUUAUUGGACCUGCAGUAGAUGAGUGUCUUAUGGUGAGUUCCUUCCUGGUUUCAGGUGUCCACUUUGAACUGUUCAGCCAUUUUACUGGAAUUGUGAUCCCUUUUCUGACAUACUUCUGCUGAUUUACCCUCCUGAAAAGCCAUUAAUCUGAAUUACCAGCACUUUAAACUAUUGUAGAAAGUUAAAGUUGUUGCCAGCAAGUCUCUAUAAUUUAACUAUUUAUCUAGGCAUUAGUCUUAAUAAAGUUGAUUAUCAAUUAAGAAACUGGUAUGUGACCAUGUCUAAAUGAAGUCAAAUUAUUUUUUUCUGCCCUGUUCAUUGUGAAACAUGUUAAUAAACUUUUUUAUAGUA